CCUGGUGGCUCAGUUAGUAAAGAAUCUGCCUGUGAUGCAGGAGACCCAGGUUCAAUCCCUGGGUCAGGA
This 69-nucleotide transfer RNA is filed under the name Bos taurus (domestic cattle). It matches the Rfam family "tRNA". From Rfam's summary of the family: Transfer RNA (tRNA) molecules are approximately 80 nucleotides in length. Their secondary structure includes four short double-helical elements and three loops (D, anti-codon, and T loops). Lineage: Eukaryota; Metazoa; Chordata; Mammalia; Artiodactyla; Bovidae. The record is from Rfam by way of RNAcentral. RNAcentral also lists the same sequence under 4 other names.